ACUGUCAGUGAUGAUCAAUUGUCCACAUUGCUUGAGUUUAAACACUGAAAAAACUCACAUGCACUACCAUCUGAGACACA
Betta splendens (Siamese fighting fish) is the source of this 80-nucleotide small nucleolar RNA. The record is from Ensembl. Lineage: Eukaryota; Metazoa; Chordata; Actinopteri; Anabantiformes; Osphronemidae.